UACGUAGGGGGCAAGCGUUAUCCGGAUUUACUGGGUGUAAAGGGAGCGUAGGCGGUCAGACAAGUCAGAAGUGAAAGCCCGGGGCUCAACUCCGGGACUGCUUUUGAAACUGCCUGACUAGAUUGCAGGAGAGGUAAGUGGAAUUCCUAGUGUAGCGGUGAAAUGCGUAGAUAUUAGGAGGAACACCAGUGGCGAAGGCGGCUUACUGGACUGUAAAUGACGCUGAGGCUCGAAAGCGUGGGGAGCAAACAGG
RNAcentral lists this ribosomal RNA (253 nucleotides) under Cuneatibacter caecimuris. Its description in RNAcentral is "partial 16S ribosomal RNA". It matches the Rfam family "Bacterial small subunit ribosomal RNA", at positions 524 to 776 of the family's 1533-position model. The record is from RNAcentral. Lineage: Bacteria; Bacillati; Bacillota; Clostridia; Lachnospirales; Lachnospiraceae.